RNAcentral lists this ribosomal RNA (253 nucleotides) under uncultured bacterium. Its description in RNAcentral is "partial 16S ribosomal RNA". It matches the Rfam family "Bacterial small subunit ribosomal RNA", at positions 524 to 776 of the family's 1533-position model. The record is from RNAcentral.
UACGUAGGGUCCGAGCGUUGUCCGGAAUUAUUGGGCGUAAAGGGCUCGUAGGCGGUUUGUCGCGUCGGGAGUGAAAACACGGGGCUUAACCCCGUGCCUGCUUCCGAUACGGGCAGACUAGAGGUAUGCAGGGGAGAACGGAAUUCCUGGUGUAGCGGUGAAAUGCGCAGAUAUCAGGAGGAACACCGGUGGCGAAGGCGGUUCUCUGGGCAUGUCCUGACGCUGAGGAGCGAAAGUGUGGGGAGCGAACAGG